This 253-nucleotide ribosomal RNA is filed under the name uncultured bacterium. RNAcentral describes it as "partial 16S ribosomal RNA". It matches the Rfam family "Bacterial small subunit ribosomal RNA", at positions 524 to 776 of the family's 1533-position model. The record is from RNAcentral.
UACGUAGGGGGCAAGCGUUGUCCGGAUUUAUUGGGCGUAAAGAGCGUGUAGGCGGCUGGGUAGGUCCGUUGUGAAAACUCGAGGCUCAACCUCGAGACGCCGAUGGAAACCCUCCAGCUAGAGUCCGGAAGAGGAGAGUGGAAUUCCUGGUGUAGCGGUGAAAUGCGCAGAUAUCAGGAAGAACACCCGUGGCUAAGGCGGCUCUCUGGGCAACAACUGACGCUGAGGAGCGAAAGCGUGGGGAGCGAACAGG